Molecule: small nuclear RNA, 107 nt
Organism: Callithrix jacchus (white-tufted-ear marmoset)
Lineage: Eukaryota; Metazoa; Chordata; Mammalia; Primates; Cebidae
Source: Ensembl
GUGCUCACUUCGGCAGCAUAUAUACUAAAAUUGGAACAAUACACAGAAGAUUAGCAUGGCCCCCGUGCAAGGAUGCCACGGAAAUUUGUGAAGCGUUCCAUAUUUAA